GGCCGCGGGCAGCGGCGGGGUCACCGAGCGUGCUUCGAGCAUGCUGAUGGCGGAUUCGCGACGUGCCCGGUGUUCGGCCAUCGCCGUGGCCACCA
This 95-nucleotide transfer RNA is filed under the name Mycolicibacterium boenickei. Its description in RNAcentral is "tRNA-Arg". Lineage: Bacteria; Bacillati; Actinomycetota; Actinomycetes; Mycobacteriales; Mycobacteriaceae. The record is from RNAcentral.